UAAAAUUACUGCAGAAUCAGUUCUCGAGGUGGUAAGGAUAUCAUGUAAGCUAAAGGAUAAGGAUAGAGGUCAUACAAUGAAGGUAUGACUGUAAUUUUCUGAGUUCCUUUCUAAAUUCAUAUUGUUCAAAAUAAUAGUAUAAUCUAAUAUUAUAACAGUAUUAAGAGUAAUGAAUUAGCGAAGAUAAAUCAUAAAAGGCCAAUGGAUAAAGAAAGUGCAGAAUGAAAGUUUGGACAA
Molecule: unclassified non-coding RNA, 237 nt
Filed under: Hevea brasiliensis (rubber tree)
Lineage: Eukaryota; Viridiplantae; Streptophyta; Magnoliopsida; Malpighiales; Euphorbiaceae
Source: RNAcentral